CGGGCCGUAGCUCAGCGGUAGAGCGGUGGUGCCCCACAGCGCCAAGGAAGUCAGUUCGACUCUGACCGGCCCGU
RNAcentral lists this transfer RNA (74 nucleotides) under Planctomycetaceae bacterium. RNAcentral describes it as "tRNA-OTHER". It matches the Rfam family "tRNA". Rfam says of the family: Transfer RNA (tRNA) molecules are approximately 80 nucleotides in length. Their secondary structure includes four short double-helical elements and three loops (D, anti-codon, and T loops). Further hydrogen bonds mediate the characteristic L-shaped molecular structure. tRNAs have two regions of fundamental functional importance: the anti-codon, which is responsible for specific mRNA codon recognition, and the 3' end, to which the tRNAs corresponding amino acid is attached (by aminoacyl-tRNA synthetases). tRNAs cope with the degeneracy of the genetic code in two manners: having more than one tRNA (with a specific anti-codon) for a particular amino acid; and 'wobble' base-pairing, i.e. permitting non-standard base-pairing at the 3rd anti-codon position. Lineage: Bacteria; Pseudomonadati; Planctomycetota; Planctomycetia; Planctomycetales; Planctomycetaceae. The record is from RNAcentral.